RNAcentral lists this ribosomal RNA (436 nucleotides) under Shigella dysenteriae. RNAcentral describes it as "partial 23S ribosomal RNA". It matches the Rfam family "Bacterial large subunit ribosomal RNA", at positions 1474 to 1890 of the family's 2925-position model. The record is from RNAcentral. Lineage: Bacteria; Pseudomonadati; Pseudomonadota; Gammaproteobacteria; Enterobacterales; Enterobacteriaceae.
GGAGAAGGCUAUGUUGGCCGGGCGACGGUUGUCCCGGUUUAAGCGUGUAGGCUGGUUUUCCAGGCAAAUCCGGAAAAUCAAGGCUGAGGCGUGAUGACGAGGCACUACGGUGCUGAAGCAACAAAUGCCCUGCUUCCAGGAAAAGCCUCUAAGCAUCAGGUAACAUCAAAUCGUACCCCAAACCGACACAGGUGGUCAGGUAGAGAAUACCAAGGCGCUUGAGAGAACUCGGGUGAAGGAACUAGGCAAAAUGGUGCCGUAACUUCGGGAGAAGGCACGCUGAUAUGUAGGUGAAGUCCCUCGCGGAUGGAGCUGAAAUCAGUCGAAGAUACCAGCUGGCUGCAACUGUUUAUUAAAAACACAGCACUGUGCAAACACGAAAGUGGACGUAUACGGUGUGACGCCUGCCCGGUGCCGGAAGGUUAAUUGAUGGGGU